GGCUGGUCCGAUGGUAGUGGGUUAUCAGAACUUACUAACAUGAGUGUCACUAAAGUUGGUAUUCAACCCCCCACUGCUAAAUUUGACUGGCUUUUA
RNAcentral lists this Y RNA (96 nucleotides) under Propithecus coquereli (Coquerel's sifaka). RNAcentral's name for it is "Y RNA (ENSPCOG00000003592.1)". It matches the Rfam family "Y RNA". Rfam says of the family: Y RNAs are components of the Ro ribonucleoprotein particle (Ro RNP), in association with Ro60 and La proteins. The Y RNAs and Ro60 and La proteins are well conserved, but the function of the Ro RNP is not known. In humans the RNA component can be one of four small RNAs -- hY1, hY3, hY4 and hY5. The record is from Rfam by way of RNAcentral. Lineage: Eukaryota; Metazoa; Chordata; Mammalia; Primates; Indriidae.